GAGUCUGAAGCGAGCCCGGCACAGUCACGUGGGCAGGUGCAGAGGCUCCUGGAGCGCUCCGGGGGGCAGGGGUGACGUCACAUUGGCCGGGUGGGACUGGGAAGACUCUGGAGAUGUGUUGAAGCCACCUGCCCGCUGUGGCCCGUGACCCAUCCCGCCAUCACUUCCAGCCGUCUGCUUCUGUCACCCCUCGCCCGCCUCUGACCUCUUGCCUCCAGUCCUGGAAGGGCCCUCGUGACGGCAUUUAGGAGGCACCUGGAUGGCCCGGGACGCCUCCUCCCGAGAGCCUUCAGCCAGCCACACCAGCGAGUCCUUUUUGCCAUAUCAGCGGCUGCACCGAUUUACAUUCCCACCGACAGUGCACGAGGGCUUCCUUCCCGCCACAUCCUUGCUGACACUGGCUUCUGGUCUGAGAACAGCGCCCUGAGGGGUGUGAGAGGAGCCCUCCUGGUGGCCUGGAUUUGCAUUUCCUGAUGCUGAGCGAGGAGGAGCAGCUUUUCCUGUGUCCAUUGGCCCCUGGACGUCUUCUUUGGAAAAUGUCUGCUCAGGUCCGCUGCCCAUGUUUUAACUGGAUUGUUUGUCUUGGCGCUGAGUUAUAUAAGCUCUUCAUACAUUUUGGGUAUCAACCCCUUAUCAGAUACGUGAUUUGGGAAUCUCUUCUCCCAUCCGGAGGCUGCCUUUUUGUUUCCUGCGUAGUUUCCUUUGCGGUGCAGAAGCUGGUAGUUGGUGUAGUCCUAAUCUUUUGGUUUUGCUUUUAUUUCUCUUGACUGAGAAGACAUACCUGAAAAAAUGUUGCUAAGGCUGGUGUCAAAGAAAUUCCUACGAAGGCUUUUUUUUUUUAAUGUUUAUUUUCGGGAGAGAGAACGCCCCGAGGCUCUUUUUUAAAAAUUGUUGGGUCACUUGCCCCUGACCACUUGGAAGCAGGAACACACUGGGGAAAUGUGCCCACGCGGGGGUAAGCUUCCUGAGUUCUCAUCCAUCGGAGCAGGGAGCCCGUCAAUAGUACUGAGAAUUGAAAAAUCACGGAACAGCAGCAUGAUAUUUACAAGUAGGAAGAUAACAUACACGGAUGCAAACUAGAAGAGUUGAAAGCAUUGCCCCUGGGGGCACGUGACUCAGAGAUGGGCCCGGGCCUGCUGUUUUACAUCAAAGCCUUGCACACUAUUUGUGUGGCUAAGAAGACUCAACCAGGGACGCCUGGGUGGCUCUAACCGUUAGACCUUUGACUUCAA
This is a long non-coding RNA of Suricata suricatta (meerkat), 1232 nucleotides long. RefSeq lists it as uncharacterized. The record is from RefSeq and is a predicted model, not a curated record. The transcript has 3 exons. NCBI's taxonomy places the organism in Eukaryota, Metazoa, Chordata, Mammalia, Carnivora, Herpestidae.